GGCGCUCUGGGGGCGUGCCGGCUGCGCAGGGACACGCGCUCUGGGCCGCAGCAACUGGCUCCAAGUUCCCUCCCUCGCUCUCCUGCGGAGCCUGCCUGAGCCCGCCCCUUCGGUGCGGAGGAGCAAACGCGGCCCCGGUCAGCUCAGCCCUCCGUUGCCGCCCGAUCCGGGCCGGUUCGGCUAACCCGGUCCAUUCCGAGCCGGCGGCGAGGACCCGGCGGCCACUUCAUCCCGGCCUGCAGUGCAUCGCGGGGCCCAAGCUCCUCCUCGCGGUCUCCGGAGCCUGGUGCCUGGCCUGGCCGCCUUGCAGGGGCCGGAGUGCGGCCAAGAAAUCCCGAGCUGGACACUGA
Molecule: long non-coding RNA, 350 nt
Filed under: Mus spicilegus (steppe mouse)
Lineage: Eukaryota; Metazoa; Chordata; Mammalia; Rodentia; Muridae
Description: lncRNA (ENSMSIG00000023791.1)
Source: RNAcentral